GCAAUUGUAGCUUAAAAAACAGCAUUGGUCUUGUAAGCCGAAGACUGGGAAAUACACCCCCUAUUGCUAACCUCUUGAGUAUGAUAAGUACAUUUGCCUUCCAAGCAGAAAGAUUAAGAAGUCCUUAAAGGAGGUAUAGUAUAUUAGCUGAGGCAUAGCAUAAUCUUAAUGCAUCUCGCUUACACCGAAAAGAUACUUAACAUUUAAGUUGCCUUA
Molecule: unclassified non-coding RNA, 216 nt
Filed under: Cerithium coralium
Lineage: Eukaryota; Metazoa; Mollusca; Gastropoda; Cerithiidae
Description: partial contains tRNA-Thr, tRNA-Gly, and tRNA-Val
Rfam family: tRNA (bases 1-68)
Source: RNAcentral